CAAUAGCGUAUAUUAAAGUUGUUGCAGUUAAAAAGCUCGUAGUUGGAUUUCGGGGUGGCCUGGCUGGUCCACCGCAAGGUGUGUACUGGUCAGCUGCCCUUCCUCUCGAAAGCCCCGACUGCUCUUCAUUGUUGUGGUCGGGUAGUUCGAGACGUUUACUUUGAAAAAAUUAGAGUGUUCAAGGCAGGCCGUCGCCUGAAUACAUUAGCAUGGAAUAAUGGAAGAGGACCUUGGUCCUAUUUUGUUGGUUUCUGGGGCCGAAGUAAUGAUUAAGAGGGACAGUUGGGGGCAUUCGUAUUUAAUUGUCAGAGGUGAAAUUCUUGGAUUUAUGAAAGACGAACUAGUGCGAAAGCAUUUGCCUAGGAUGUUUUCAUUAA
RNAcentral lists this ribosomal RNA (377 nucleotides) under uncultured eukaryote. RNAcentral's name for it is "partial 18S ribosomal RNA". It matches the Rfam family "Eukaryotic small subunit ribosomal RNA", at positions 592 to 976 of the family's 1831-position model. The record is from RNAcentral.